GACUAGUCUUGAACUCUAACCUCCUGAGUAGCUGGGACUCCAAGGGCAUGUCAUCAUCAAACAAGCAUCAUCCAUGACUCCUGGUUAUAGUUCCAGUUAUGACAGCAGACUUUAGGAAAUCACAAGAUUUUCCAAAAGUCCUUAAUUUCCAUUGAGUAAUACUUGCAGUGUUAGAGAAACUGCUUCCACCCUGGACUACAGUAGUGGAAUAUCUAGACUACGAUAAACUGCUGAGGAAAAAAUUGAGGUGGAACUCAAGACUCCCAGAGAAUUUUCAAAAGACAUUAAGUGACAAGAGAUGAAAUCCAAAGAGUUGAUAAACAUAUAGAAAGAAUUCUCUAAUUUAGCCACUUCUCACAUGACUUUUACCACCCAAAUU
RNAcentral lists this long non-coding RNA (379 nucleotides) under Rhinopithecus bieti (black snub-nosed monkey). RNAcentral's name for it is "lncRNA (ENSRBIG00000045213.1)". The record is from RNAcentral. Lineage: Eukaryota; Metazoa; Chordata; Mammalia; Primates; Cercopithecidae.